This 253-nucleotide ribosomal RNA is filed under the name uncultured bacterium. Its description in RNAcentral is "partial 16S ribosomal RNA". It matches the Rfam family "Bacterial small subunit ribosomal RNA", at positions 524 to 776 of the family's 1533-position model. The record is from RNAcentral.
UACGUAGGGUGCAAGCGUUAAUCGGAUUUACUGGGCGUAAAGCGCACGUAGGCGGAUCUUUUAGUCAGGGGUGAAAUCCCGAGGCUCAACCUCGGAACUGCCUUUGAUACUGGGGAUCUUGAGUCCGGGAGAGGUGAGUGGAACUGCGAGUGUAGAGGUGAAAUUCGUAGAUAUUCGCAAGAACACCAGUGGCGAAGGCGGCUCACUGGCCCGGUACUGACGCUGAGGUGCGAAAGCGUGGGGAGCAAACAGG